Molecule: ribosomal RNA, 253 nt
Filed under: uncultured bacterium
Lineage: Bacteria
Description: partial 16S ribosomal RNA
Rfam family: Bacterial small subunit ribosomal RNA
Source: RNAcentral
UACGUAGGGGGCAAGCGUUGUCCGGAUUUAUUGGGCGUAAAGAGCUCGUAGGUGGUUCGGUAAGUCGGAUGUGAAAUCUCCAGGCUCAACCUGGAGGGGUCAUUCGAUACUGCCGGACUAGAGUUCGGAAGAGGCGAGUGGAAUUCCCGGUGUAGCGGUGAAAUGCGCAGAUAUCGGGAGGAACACCUAUGGCGAAGGCAGCUCGCUGGGACGUUACUGACGCUGAGACGCGAGAGCGUGGGGAGCAAACAGG